UUAAGCAUAUUAAUUAGGGGAGGAAAAGAAACUAACAAGGAUUUUCUUAGUGCGGCGAGCGAAAAGAAAACAGUCAGCACUAAGUCACUUUGUCUAUAUGGCAAAUGUGAGAUGCAGUGUAUGGAACAUCUAUAUUCUAGUAUGAGAAAUUAACGAUUUAAGUCCUUCUUAAAUGAGGCCAUUUACCCAUAGAGGGUUGCCAGGCCCGUAUAACGUUAAUGAUUACUAGAUGAUGAUUUCCAAAGAGUCGUGUUGCUUGAUAGUGCAGCACUAAGUGGGUGGUAAACUCCAUCUAAAACUAAAUAUAACCAUGAGACCGAUAGUAAACAAGUACCGUGAGGGAAAGUUGAAAAGAACUCUGAAUAGAGAGUUAAAUAGUACGUGAAACUGCUAGAGGUUAAGCCCGAUGAACCUGAAUAUCCAUUAUGGGAAUUCAUCAUUAUAAUUAAAUAUUUAAUAAAUAUUAUUAAUAAAGUGUGCAUUUUUCCCAUAUAAGGACAUUGUAAUCUAUUAGCAUAUACAAAAAUUUAUCAUAAAAUAUGGCUUAUAGUUUAUUCAAAUUAUUAUGGCUUGCCCAUUGAUAACAUAGAAUAAAUGUCAUUAAAUUGAUAAAGUGCUGAUAGAUUGAUAUGAAAGACAGUGUGUUAAUUUUCGAAAUUAUAUAUGAUAUUUAUAUCUAUGAUAUUUAUAUUUAUUAUAGGGUUGUAUGAUUAACAAUGCGAAAGAUUCAGGAUACCUUCGGGACCCGUCUUGAAACAGGACCAAGGAGUCUAACAUAUAUGCAAGUCAUUGGAUUUAUUUAUAACCUAAUGGCGUAAUUAACUUGACUACCAAUACAAAUGGGAUUAGUUUUUAAAAUUAUUUAUAUAGUUUAUUAUUCAAUCCCGGGGCGCUCUAUUAGAUUAUGUAUAAUAAUAUUUAUAUUAUUUAUACCUCUAACUGGAACGUACCUUGAGCAUAUAUGCUGUGACCCGAAAGAUGGUGAACUAUACUUGAUCAGGUUGAAGUCAGGGGAAACCCUGAUGGAAGACCGAAACAGUUCUGACGUGAAAUCGAUUGUCAGAAUUGAGUAUAGGGCGAAAGACCAAUCGAACCAUCUAGUAGCUGGUCCUUCCGAAGUUUUCCCUCAGGAUAGCUGGUGCAUUUAUAUAUGCAUAAAAUAAUCUAUUCUGGUAAAGCGAAUGAUUAGAGGCCUUAGGGUCGAAACGAUCUUUAACCUAUCUCAACAACUUCAAUACAUUAAUGGGUAAAGAACCUUAACUUUCUUGAAUGAAGUUUAAGGUUAUGAUAUAUAAUGUGCAGUGGGCCACUUUGGUAAGCAGAAAUGGCGCUGUGGGAUGAACCAACGUAAUGUUACGGUGCCCAAAUUAACAACUCAUGCAGAUACCAUGAAAGGCGUUGGGUGCUUAAAACAGCAGGACGGUGGACAAUGGAAGUCGUAAUCCGCUAAGGAGUGUGUAAAAAUCACCUGCCGAAGCAACUAGCCCUUAAAAUGGAUGGCGCUUAAGUUGUAUCCAUCUACAUUACCGCUAAAGUAAAUGAUUCAUAUUUAUAUAAAAAUAUAAAUUUUGAAACUUUAGUGAGUAGGAAGGUACAAUGGUGUGCGUAGAAAUAGAAGUGUGUGGCGUAAGCCUGCAGGAGCCGCCAUUGGUACAGAUCUUGGUGGUAGUAGCAAAUAAUCGAAUGAGACCUUGGAGGACUGAAGUGGAGAAGGGUUCGUGUGAACAGUGGUUGAUCACGAGUUAGUCGGUCCUAAGUUCAAGGCGAAAGCCGAAAAUUUUCAAGUAAAAAUAUAUAUAUAAUAUACACAACAUACAUAUUAUUAUUGAUACACUUGAAUAAUUUUGAAACGAAGGGAAUACGGUUCCAAUUCCGUAACCUGUUGAGUAUCCGUGUGUUAUAAAUAUGGGCCUUGUGCUCAUCCUGGCAACAGGAACGACAUAAAGAAAGAAGCCGUCGAGAGAUUAUCGGAAGAGUUUUCUUUUCUGUUUUAUAGCCGUACUACCAUGGAAGUCUUUCGCAGAGAGAUAUGGUAGAUGGGCUAGAAGAGCAUGACAUAUACUGUUGUGUCGAUAUUUUCUCCUCGGACCUUGAAAAUUUAUGUGGGGACACCGCAAACUCUCAACAGGCCGACCAAUAUCCGCAGCUGGUCUCCAAGGUGAAGAGUCUCUAGUCGAUGGAAUAAUGUAGGUAAGGGAAGUCGGCAAAUUAGAUCCGUAACUUCGGGAUAAGGAUUGGCUCUGAAGAUUGAGAUAAUCGGGCUUGAUUGGAAACAAUAACAUGGUUUAUGUUCUCGUUCUGGGUAAAUAGAAUUUCGAUAUUUUAAUGAUCGUCAUUUGUUCCCCGGAUUGUUAGUUACGUAGCCAAUUGUGGAACUUUCUUGCUAAAAUUUUUAAGAAUACUAAUCUGGAGGGGUUAAACCUUUCAGUUUUAGCUCUUUUAAAUUAUAACGAUAUCAAUUAACAAUCAAUUCAGAACUGGCACGGACUUGGGGAAUCCGACUGGUCUAAUUAAAACAAAGCAUUGUGAUGGCCUAGCGGGUUGUUGACACAAUGUGAUUUCGCCAGUGCUCUGAAUGUCAACGUGAAGAAAUUCAAGUAAGCGCGGGUCAACGGCGGGAGUAACUAUGACUUCUUAAGGUACAAAUGCCCGGCAUCUAAUUAGGACGCGCAUGAAUGGAUUAACGAGAUUCCUACUGUCCCUAUCUAUACUAGCGAAACACAGCCAAGGGAACGGUCUUGAAUAAUAGCGGGGAAGAAGGACCCUUUGAGCUUGACUCUAAUUGGCAGUGUAAGGAGACAUAAGAGUUGUAGAAUAAGGGGAGAUAUUAGAUUUCGGUUUAGUAUCGCCAAUGAAAUACCACUACUCUUAGUGUUUCCUUACUUACUGGAUUAAAUGGAACGUGUAUUCAUUUCCUAGCCAUUCUACGGAAUAUUUUCUUAUAUCUUAUGGUAUUGGGUUUUGAUGCAAGCUCUUGAUCAAAGUAUCAGAGUUUGUUAUAUAAUUGCAAACAAUUCUAAUAAUGAGAGGAUGCGCAUUUAUGUGUAUUUUUCAAUUUAUGAAUUUGGU
This 3069-nucleotide ribosomal RNA is filed under the name Scaptodrosophila lebanonensis. RNAcentral's name for it is "eukaryotic LSU rRNA". It matches the Rfam family "Eukaryotic large subunit ribosomal RNA", at positions 34 to 2590 of the family's 3401-position model. The record is from RNAcentral. Lineage: Eukaryota; Metazoa; Arthropoda; Insecta; Diptera; Drosophilidae.